Long non-coding RNA from Dromiciops gliroides (monito del monte), 711 nucleotides. RefSeq lists it as uncharacterized. The transcript is spliced from 3 exons. The record is from RefSeq and is a predicted model, not a curated record. Lineage: Eukaryota; Metazoa; Chordata; Mammalia; Microbiotheria; Microbiotheriidae.
GAGGAAACUGAGACAAAGAGGAUUCAGUGACUUGCCCAGGGUAACACAGCUGCUCACUCUCUCUCUUUAAAAGAAAAUGAGUGGGGACCACGCUAGGCAACAACCUCCUCUUGACAAUGGGCUACGACUGGAGGAAGAAGUUCCACUAGCCCGGAAGAGCUCAAGGAGAAGAUGGAUACUUGAAGACUUGGAGCAAGAACUCACACAGCUGGGCAUCCCCUUAGAUAACCCCCAAGGACUGGAUCCAAGUGGGGAGUCACAUCUACCAUCCAUCUUCGAUCCCUGUUUUUGUGGAUGUGCCCUGAGAUCAAAAUCUGUGCUGCACCCCCGCCCCCCUUCAGGCACUUCCCAAGACGCCACCCCAAAGCUCCUCCAGUCAGCACCUAGGGAGGAGCCAGCACCAACAACGACUAGUCCCACAACUCAACCAGAUUUUCCCACAACAUCCCGGACCGGUUCCCCAGCUCCUUCUUCUGGGAGGAGAUCUCAAACUCCGAGCAAUACUCCACCUGUACGACAACUAGUCCCACUGCCUGUUUGGCCCCAACCCUUUCGUUUCACCAUCCCUAAGACCAAGCCUCAAAGGGUUCACAAUCCUCCUGUUGAAUGUCUAGGUCCCAGGUUCCCAAGAUGGAGAGAGAAAAAACAGACCUCUUUGCCGUCUCCUCCUAUCUUUACUCCCCUUAAAAUAAAGUAUAGUAUUUGAUUCAA